Molecule: long non-coding RNA, 1074 nt
Organism: Oncorhynchus mykiss (rainbow trout)
Lineage: Eukaryota; Metazoa; Chordata; Actinopteri; Salmoniformes; Salmonidae
Source: Ensembl
GAACCAGAGACAGUAUCCAUAGAAGCCAAUGAGUGGAAGAGAGCAGCCUCACAUGAUCAUUAGCACCACUUCUGGACUAUGCUGUACUCUAGAGGCUGUGGACUGUGUAGAGACUGGGAGACGAGUGGAGGCAGUGGCUAUCAGGUGCAUGAUGGGAAGUGUGCUGGCAGGGGACAGCAGUGUGGCGGUGGACCAAAAUCAAUUGGCAGUGUAAUGAGAUGGCAGCGCGCCAGGUUGCCAUGGAGCUCACUUGGGCUGUCCUUCACCGGAGGAUUUGUAAAUUAAAGAGAGAGAAAGAUCAGGAGUAGAGAGAAAGAAACAGAGGGGGAUAGAGAGAGAGAGAGAGCGAGAGAGAGAGAGAGAGAGAGAGUGAGAGAGAGAGAGAAGGGGGAGAGGGAGGGAGAGAGAAAGAGAGAGAGAGGGAGAAAGAGAGAGAGAGAGAGAGAGAGAGAGAGAGAGAGAGAGAGAGAGAGAGAGAGAGAGAGAGAGUGGGAGGUAAAGGAACGAAGAAGGGCAGAGAGAAAAAGGGAGGAGGUGGGAAAGGGCUGUGCAUAGUUAAAAUCAAGCCUGUUCGGGGUAGAGAGGGUUGUUAUGCAGGAGCGAUGAAGAAUGAAUUAGAGAGAAAUAAAAAGACUAGAGUAAGACGCUGUGUGUGUUCUGGUGCUCUUAUCCCAACAGCUUGAACUGUUUGAUUUUUCAUUUCUUUAGGGCAUACUGAAUUUGUAUUUUUCUACAAAAUCUUAUGUUCAGUAAGGAAAGAAAGGAACCUCCCUUGUCUGCCAGUAUUGAUUUCUUUUCCAAUUUUCCUUCUCUCUUGCCAAAAGCAUGGAUGCUUUCUCUGAAAAAACAGAAUGGAAUAAGUCUGUUUGAUUUCAAUGUAAAUUCACGCAUCGCUUCAUCAUGUUAAUGUGUCAAUCAGGGGCUGUCAUGCAAUAUGUGGGACAGCAGUUUGUGUCAUUACCAGAAUGGUGUCACUACCACAACAAAAUACAACUUUGCUCUGGUAUUGACAGUUUCGGUGUGACAAUUAAAACCUAUUUUCCAAAUAACUGUUGCUAAUACAUUAUAUUGCCG